UCGGGAAUUUUGGGCAAUGGGCGAAAGCCUGACCCAGCAACGCCGCGUGAAGGAUGAAGUAUUUCGGUAUGUAAACUUCGUAAGAAUAGGAAGAAUAAAUGACGGUACUAUUUGUAAGGUCCGGCUAACUACGUGCCAGCAGCCGCGGUAAUACGUAGGGACCAAGCGUUGUUCGGAUUUACUGGGCGUAAAGGGCGCGUAGGCGGUGUGUCAAGUCAGUUGUGAAAUCUCCGAGCUUAACUCGGAACGGUCAACUGAUACUGUCACACUAGAGUACAGAAGGGGCAAUCGGAAUUCUUGGUGUAGCGGUGAAAUGCGUAGAUAUCAAGAGGAACACCUGAGGCGAAGGCGGGUUGCUGGGCUGACACUGACGCUGAGGCGCGAAAGCCAGGGGAGCAAACGGGAUUAGAUACCCUUGUAGUCCCUGAGCGGGCUGGCAAGGCGCAU
This 447-nucleotide ribosomal RNA is filed under the name uncultured bacterium. Its description in RNAcentral is "bacterial SSU rRNA". It matches the Rfam family "Bacterial small subunit ribosomal RNA", at positions 355 to 825 of the family's 1533-position model. The record is from RNAcentral.